CUGUUAAUGAGUGACUGUCUUCAGGUAAAUGAUCUGGAGUGUGUUUGCAUAUUGAUCAGAUGCUUCAGUGCUCUGAGAGUGUUUAUAGUGCUGUGAGUUUAACACUUCAUCACUGACACACACAACAAUCUUCAUCAACAUGACCUUCAUCAUCAUCUUCAUCUGGACUCUCACAGCAUUUGCUCAAGAGUGUAGAGGACAGAUCACCGUCACUCAGAGUCCCUCAAUGACAGCAGCUCAACCAGGAGAAACAGUCAAAAUCAACUGUAGAACCAGCAGAGAUGUAUACAGUUGGUAUGGGACAUACUAUUUCAGCUGGUACUUACAGAAACCUGGAGAAGCUCCUAAACUCCUGAUUUAUUAUGCAAACCGCCUCCAGUCAGGAACUCCAUCUAGAUUCAGUGGCAGUGGAUCUAACAGUGAUUUCACUUUGACCAUCAGUGGAGUCCAGACUGAAGAUGCUGGACAUUAUUACUGUCAGAGUUUCCACUGCAGAACAAAUUCUCGAAAUAGUUGUGUGGGUGAUUAUGUGUUCACACAGUGAUAAAGAGUCGUACAAAAACCUCCGUCAGUCAGAGUCACAGUGACUGAACUGAUUCUGCAGCUGCUCAAACACUAUCACUCACUACUGACACACAGAGACCAAACACAGGA
Labeo rohita (rohu) is the source of this 654-nucleotide non-coding RNA. Lineage: Eukaryota; Metazoa; Chordata; Actinopteri; Cypriniformes; Cyprinidae. The record is from the annotation of a RefSeq genome assembly.